Molecule: ribosomal RNA, 424 nt
Filed under: uncultured bacterium
Lineage: Bacteria
Description: partial 16S ribosomal RNA
Rfam family: Bacterial small subunit ribosomal RNA
Source: RNAcentral
UGGGGAAUAUUGCACAAUGGGCGAAAGCCUGAUGCAGCAACGCCGCGUGUGUGAAGAAGGCCUUCGGGUUGUAAAGCACUUUGUCCGGAAAGAAAUCCUUGGCUCUAAUACAGUCGGGGAUGACGGUACCGGAAGAAUAAGCACCGGCUAACUACGUGCCAGCAGCCGCGGUAAUACGUAGGGUGCAAGCGUUAAUCGGAAUUACUGGGCGUAAAGCGUGCGCAGGCGGUUUGCUAAGACCGAUGUGAAAUCCCCGGGCUCAACCUGGGAACUGCAUUGGUGACUGGCAGGCUAGAGUAUGGCAGAGGGGGGUAGAAUUCCACGUGUAGCAGUGAAAUGCGUAGAGAUGUGGAGGAAUACCGAUGGCGAAGGCAGCCCCCUGGGCCAAUACUGACGCUCAUGCACGAAAGCGUGGGGAGCAAAC